CGUUGAAACACCGGCUCCCGUACGAUCACUGAAGUUAAACAACGUCGAGCUGAGACAGUAACUAGAUGGGUGACUGUUUGGGAAUAUUAGGUUCUGUAAG
Molecule: non-coding RNA, 100 nt
Organism: Acanthosepion pharaonis
Lineage: Eukaryota; Metazoa; Mollusca; Cephalopoda; Sepiida; Sepiidae
Source: the annotation of a GenBank genome assembly